Molecule: ribosomal RNA, 468 nt
Filed under: uncultured bacterium
Lineage: Bacteria
Description: partial 16S ribosomal RNA
Rfam family: Bacterial small subunit ribosomal RNA
Source: RNAcentral
GACGAACGCUGGCGGCGUGCUUAACACAUGCAAGUCGAACGGAAAGGCCCUGCUUUUGUGGGUUUCUCGAGUGGCGAACGGGUGAGUAACACGUGAGUAACCUGCCCUUGACUUUGGGAUAACUUCAGGAAACUGGGGCUAAUACCGGAUAGGAGCUCCUGCUGCAUGGUGGGGGUUGGAAAGUUUCGGCGGUUGGGGAUGGACUCGCGGCUUAUCAGCUUGUUGGUGGGGUAGUGGCUUACCAAGGCUUUGACGGGUAGCCGGCCUGAGAGGGUGACCGGCCACAUUGGGAAUGAGAUACGGCCCAGACUACUACGGGAGGCAGCAGUGGGGAAUAGUGCACGAUGGGCGGAAGCCUGAUGCAGCAACGCCGCGUGCGGGAUGACGGCCUUCGGGUUGUAAACCGCUUUCGCCUGUGACGAAGCGUGAGUGACGGUAAUGGGUAAAGAAGCACCGGCUAACUACGUG